RNAcentral lists this non-coding RNA (21 nucleotides) under Mus musculus (house mouse). RNAcentral also lists the same sequence under 1 other name. Lineage: Eukaryota; Metazoa; Chordata; Mammalia; Rodentia; Muridae. The record is from RNAcentral.
UGAAGUGUCAACACAGGCUGA